GCAAGUCGUGCGAGAAAGUAUCUUCGGAUAUGAGUAGAGCGGCGGACGGGUGAGUAACGCGUAGGAAUCUACCUAGUAGAAGGGGAUAGCCCGAGGAAACUCGGAUUAAUACCGUAUACCUCCUUCGGGAGAAAGAAGGCCUCUCUUUGAAGCUUUCGCUACUAGAUGAGCCUGCGUAAGAUUAGCUUGUUGGUGAGGUAAAGGCUCACCAAGGCUUCGAUGGGUAGCUGGUCUGAGAGGAUGAUC
RNAcentral lists this ribosomal RNA (246 nucleotides) under uncultured bacterium. Its description in RNAcentral is "partial 16S ribosomal RNA". It matches the Rfam family "Bacterial small subunit ribosomal RNA", at positions 57 to 305 of the family's 1533-position model. The record is from RNAcentral.